Long non-coding RNA from Oncorhynchus gorbuscha (pink salmon), 829 nucleotides. RefSeq lists it as uncharacterized. The transcript is spliced from 5 exons. The record is from RefSeq and is a predicted model, not a curated record. Lineage: Eukaryota; Metazoa; Chordata; Actinopteri; Salmoniformes; Salmonidae.
AUCAGAGAUGGUGUGUGUUAGAGAGAGAACACUCCUCCUCUAGUUGAUAUAUCAGAGAUGGUGUGUGUUAGAGAGAGAACACUCCUCCUCUAGUUGAUGUAUCAGAGAUGGUGUGUGUUAGAGAGAGAACACUCCUCCUCUAGUUGAUAUAUCAGAGAUGGUGUGUGUUAGAGAGAGAACACUCCUCCUCUAGCUGAUAUAUCAGAGAUGGUGUGUGUUAGAGAGAGAACACUCCUCCUCUAGCUGAUAUAUCAGAGAUGGUGUGUGUUAGAGAGAGAACACUCCUCCUCUAGCUGAUAUAUCAGAGAUGGUGUGUGUACUAACACUCCUCCUCUAGCUGCCCUAGCUGAUAUAUCAGAGAUGGUGCUGCAGCUUCAGGGAACCAUGAUGAAGAUGGAGAACAUCCAGAAGCUUCUAGAACUGAAGAAAGAUCUGACAGGCAUCCAGGACCUGGCUAUAUCUGGCAGGGAGUUUAUCAGACUGGGCUGUCUCAGUAAGCUCUCAGGGAAAGGACUACAGCAAAGAAUGUUCUUCCUGAGUCUCCAGAAGAGGGCGGCGUGGAGGCUGAGUCAGAGGAGGAGCUGAGUGCGUCUCGUAGCUCAUUGGAGCGUCAGUCAGCACAGAGAGGAAACACGAUGGUUCAUGUCUGCUGGCACCGCAACACCUCUGUGUCCAUGGUGGACUUUAGUGUGGCUGUGGAGAACCAGUUAUCAGGUAACCUGCUGAGGAAGUUUAAGAACAGUAAUGGAUGGCAGAAACUCUGGGUGGUCUUCACCAACUUCAGUCUGUUCUUCUACAAGUCACAUCAGGAUGACUACCCUCUGGCCAG